RNAcentral lists this ribosomal RNA (503 nucleotides) under uncultured Glomeromycotina. RNAcentral describes it as "SSU rRNA". It matches the Rfam family "Eukaryotic small subunit ribosomal RNA", at positions 591 to 1092 of the family's 1831-position model. The record is from RNAcentral. Lineage: Eukaryota; Fungi; Glomeromycota.
CCAAUAGCGUAUAUUAAAGUUGUUGCAGUUAAAAAGCUCGUAGUUGAAUUUCGGGGUUAGUAGGUUGGUCAUGCCUCUGGUAUGUACUGGUCUCACUGAUUCCUCCUUCCUGAUGAGCCGUAAUGCCAUUAAUUUGGUGUUGCGGGGAAUUUGGACUGUUACUUUGAAAAAAUUAGAGUGUUUAAAGCAGGCAUUUUUGCUUGAAUACAUUAGCAUGGAAUAAUAAAAUAGGACGGCAUGGUUCUAUUUUGUUGGUUUCUAGGACCACCGUAAUGAUUAAUAGGGAUAGUUGGGGGCAUUAGUAUUCAAUUGUCAGAGGUGAAAUUCUUGGAUUUAUUGAAGACUAACUACUGCGAAAGCAUUUGCCAAGGAUGUUUUCAUUAAUCAAGAACGAAAGUUAGGGGAUCGAAGACGAUCAGAUACCGUCGUAGUCUUAACCAUAAACUAUGCCGACUAGGGAUCGGAUGAUGUUAAUUUUUUAAUGACUCAUUCGGCGCCUUACG